Gasterosteus aculeatus aculeatus (three-spined stickleback) is the source of this 3351-nucleotide long non-coding RNA. The record is from Ensembl. NCBI's taxonomy places the organism in Eukaryota, Metazoa, Chordata, Actinopteri, Perciformes, Gasterosteidae.
GUGAACAACAGGUAAACAUAUGAAUAAAGGAACAUUGUGAAUAACAAUAAAACACUACCUUGCUGAAUCCUGCUGUGAGCGUCUAUAAGAGACUCUUCUUGCUAUUCCUAUUCCUACGAUCAGCAGACCUACUGAACCAAGAGAUGCAUAUUUAAGAUACUGAACUGCAACACCAUACAAUUUUGAUCUCACCUUAUUGUUGGCAUUUGAAAGACAAACAUUUAAACCAUGAGCAGAGGACUGAAGAGCAAAAGUUGGUUGGAUUAGUAGCAAAAAGACAACCAAUAACUUAUCAUGGCAGGCAGAGGUGAAAUGAAUGGCGAGAGAAAGAUUGACAGCUGCAUGCAAAGCAAAAGAAACUUGACCUAAGCGUCAUCAAAAGUAGAUUUCAGAACUUACAAAUUACACCUUCAACAAUUAAUCCAUAACGCCCCCUUGUGGGGACUUGUGAUGUAGCGUUGACUAGAGGAAAGGCAGUGGUCAGCGAUGGACGAUGAAAUCCUGUUGAGGUCAAUAAAAUCCGUUGGCAACAUGAUAAAGUGGUAAAGUGUAUCUGCACAAAAACUCACCACGGUGAAGAGAAGCACAGAUGCUGCUGUUGUCUAGUAGAGGAAACAAGAGAAAUGUCACUUGUAUACAAGACAGAAUUGCAUCAGUCAUUGGACAACAGAAAAUAUAUUAAAUUAUGUGAAAUUCUAAAUGAUCGUCAAUAUAUAUCAGACAGAUACAUUUCAAUAGGAAUAAAUUAAAUCCCAGAAUCUAAUCAAGGUUGUUUUGUGUUGCAUCUUGUGAAAAAUGCACCAAAAGUAAGCAAAAGGUGUCCACAGAGACAUUAAACGACCACUAUUUGGUUGUAAAAGUUUACCAAUGUGGAGUAAAAGAACUUCCCUCCAAUGCAAAAUUAUUAACAAAUAACACGCCGAGCUGCAGUGAUGAAGCAACAACAAAGCGGACAGCAGCAGAAAAUGGCUAACUUUGCACGUAGGGGGAAUGACUGAGAGACGACCAUAAUAUAUGUCAUCCUUUGGAAAGCACAUGUAAGCACCUGUACAUUUUCCCGACUCAAUAAGACCGUCUUUCCCUUCAAAAUCACAGCCAGCAUCUGAAUCGGUGGAGGCCCGGUACAGUUCGGGAUGGGACCAUCACUGAGGAGCGACUCGUCGUUGCAAAACACGUGGGUCACAUUAGAGCCACAUCCUGGAAUACUGCAGAAAAAGAGCUGUGCCGAUUUGUUUCCGCCUGUAAAAUACAGUAUCUGUUAAAUAUCUCAUAAACUUGUUUUUUGUUUUUAUCAUGAGUGGUGCAAACAACAGAAGACAUGUCUUGACUUGCUGUUACUGGAAAGCACUGAGCAGCAAACAGCAGCAUCAAGGUGAACCCUGUCAGGACAAACGUACAAACUGAGCUAAAGGGUCCCUAAAAGUUCAAUACUAAAUAGUUUUAAAUUGUCAAAAACUUACCAUUCAUGUUCGGAUAGCAAUUCCUGUUGGAGAAAAGAUUUCCUUGUCAGAAACACAAUCAUACAGUAUUUCAAAUGAUUCUAUAUGCUGGCGCCUCCGCGUCCGUACCACACUGCCGUAAACAAAAGUCUAGUGGACCAUCAGCCAAAAACAUCCACGUCACACGACGAAUCAAUUUGCAUCCCUUUUCAUUCACAAAAGUAGGAAACGCAGUAAAGCAGUGCGGCUCCACACAAAGCGCAGGAUGCACUCAACAAAGUGUUAACAAGUUAACUCGGAAUAAAUGUCACAAAAAUAUCUGCCCAGUGUUAAAUACAUUACAUGUCAUUUAGCUGACGCUUUUAUCCAUUUUAGCCCGGGGAGCAAUUAGGGGUAAGGUGUCUUGCUCAGGGACACCUCAACAUAGGACAUGUAGCAGCCGGGAUUUGAACCGCCGACCUUGCGGAUCCCGGCUCUCCCCCACUAUUACAUAUGGCGUUAUAUUUGUGCCACAAUCCUGAGCGCGUAAUUGUAAAUUUUGAGCACAGAGAACUAUGUUGUAGCAAAGAAAAACAUCCCGUGCGCGCAGUUUACUCAGGUGCCCUCGCCACAAACUGGUUUUCUGCGCGCAGGCAGCCGUUGCUGCGCUCUCUCUCUCCACCUCUUCACGCUGCGCUCGCUCGACGUUUCACUCACGCGCUCGCUCGACUUGCAGCAGCGUUACAUUUGUGCCACAAAACCAACCAAUCAGAGAAUUAAAGAAGGUCCAUUGUGAUUGGCUGUUGGUCUCCAAUCACAACGCUUCCUAAAGAAGACGAAAAAAAGUGAUAUUAGAAGUCCGGCUAGCCACCAUCAGACAUGACCGAAGCAAAUCAUGAGAACAGCAAGUGUUUUAAUCCAGGCCAUUAGCAUUUAGCACAAAUGCUGCAAACUUCAACAACUCGCUGAGCUUCCGCGAUGCUGUAGGUAGUUCUACUAGCGUUGUGAUUUACAUUUACAAUUACGCGCUCAGGAUUGUGGCACAAAUAUAACGCCAUACCACAGUACGUAGAGUGUGACACUGGACAGUUACAUUUCAAACCGAUCACACAGUUAAUAUAAUCCUACCGAGUGUCGCAAAUGAAUCUGAUCUUGACACUGAAUAAUGACUCCGGCUCUUUCGUACAAUUGACUCUGUAAGAGUUUAAUCAACUUGUUGUACCGCAAAAUGAACUCUAAGAAUUUUGCCGUGUAGCCUACAUGUUGACUGUGUGUCACUGCGGAGUUUUAAAAUCAAUGGAAUGGAAUGACUCUCAACAAGUACAACAAAAUAAAAUCCAAAUGCACCAACAACUACAGCCGUCAAAAUAUCCCUACACAACUUCUAGCACACAACCGUGACGAAGGGCAGGACCAUUGCAUCGGAAUUUAAUAGUUUCAUCGUUGCCCGAAUGAACCUCAGCCUCCCUGCAGCAUGUUUAUGGAAGCUGCUCGUAAACAGGUUAUGCACUUGUAUGCGCACACGCAUUGUACUUAUGUUGAGAUAACACAGAUCGGGACCGGGUAGAUCUUUAAUUAGACGUACCUGAACACGCUGAGAUCCAACAACGCCACUUGUUAUUCUGACGUCCGGCUUAGUCCACUCAUCCACACCGGCAGCGACAGGUAGCGCAGCCCGGCGAAGUCAGCGGUAUACUCACAGAUUCGGACUCCACGGUUCGAUUCUCUCGUCAGCAAAACGCUGUUAAAACACAAACGAAGCCUCUCUGUAACUGUAGUGAUGUCGACGACCAGCUACGACUCUAAUUAACCAUCAUUUUACCAAUACGGACCAGUCCGGGAGCUGCACAGUCAAGCGCGCCGCCGUUAGACGAGUUAGUGUGUGUGUGCCGGAAGUAGGAAAGAGCGUUCAACGUUUUGAAGUAAAAAAAAA